Molecule: long non-coding RNA, 224 nt
Filed under: Bos taurus (domestic cattle)
Lineage: Eukaryota; Metazoa; Chordata; Mammalia; Artiodactyla; Bovidae
Description: long non-coding RNA NONBTAT017869
Source: RNAcentral
ACAACCACCAUUUCUGGCUCCAGUUAAAUUUUCUCCACUCAAGCCCCAAUAAUAAAUGGGUCCAUGAUGAUAAUUAAGAGGAAAAAAAUAUUAUUUUUGUUAGAACAGACCAUCGUAGAUUUUUAGCAAUGUGUAUCUGUGUCCCUCACACUUUUCCUAUUCUGCCUUUUUUCAUUUUCCUUUUUUUUAAAUAUUAUGUACUAUAUUUUUAGUCUCAAACACAC